CAAAUGACUCUCGGCAAUGGAUAUCUCGGCUCUUGCAUCGAUGAAGAACGUAGUGAAAUGCGAUACUUGGUGUGAAUUGCAGAAUCUCGUGAACCAUUGAGUCUUUGAACGCAAGUUGUGCCCGAGGCCUUCUGGUCGAGGGCACGCCUGCUUGGGUGUCAUGG
This 164-nucleotide ribosomal RNA is filed under the name Scaphochlamys kunstleri. RNAcentral's name for it is "5.8S ribosomal RNA". It matches the Rfam family "5.8S ribosomal RNA". Rfam says of the family: 5.8S ribosomal RNA (5.8S rRNA) is a component of the large subunit of the eukaryotic ribosome. It is transcribed by RNA polymerase I as part of the 45S precursor that also contains 18S and 28S rRNA. Lineage: Eukaryota; Viridiplantae; Streptophyta; Magnoliopsida; Zingiberales; Zingiberaceae. The record is from RNAcentral. RNAcentral also lists the same sequence under 1 other name.